This 4400-nucleotide long non-coding RNA is filed under the name Aquilegia coerulea. RNAcentral describes it as "long non-coding RNA (ACOE_LNC001262)". The record is from RNAcentral. Lineage: Eukaryota; Viridiplantae; Streptophyta; Magnoliopsida; Ranunculales; Ranunculaceae.
UGUGAAUAGCACGUGAGUAGUUUGGGCGUUAGUAGCAAAAACUAACUUAUUCCUUCCCGAUCUUAACUCUACUUUCUUCUUCGAUUACACAAGAACUCUAUUAUGCUUAGAACUCUCCCACUAUUUCUCUCACCAUCUCUGUAACUAUAAAUCUGAAUCUCUCACCACUUCUAAUUUCUAUCAAUUUCUAUUUCUUCUCUCCCUUCUUCAUUUCUAUUUAUUCUUCCCUUCAGAUUUGGGAGACUUGGGUUUAGUUGUCGAUUUUGAUUUAGAACAACUUCUGGCUUCUAUCGUCAAUUUUGAGGUAAUUUCUUUCGAAUCUUAAAGAAAAAUGUAAUCUAUAUCGUUACUUUGUUGGUUAAAUUCUGAUGGUGCAAGAAUUUUUUUUUUGUAAUUUUAGUUUAUAUUCUGAUCAUUUUAUGAAACCGUAAUUCAUUGCUUUAUAAACCAUAUCUGUGUAAUUUUAGUUCUUAUGUCGUUAUUUUCUUGCAAAAUCCUCUCGUUUCUUAUGCCUUUUUGCUUCUUAGGCCCUUUUUCUUUCGUUGCUCCCCAAUUGCAACAGGUGUUAAUCUCUCUCUCUCUCUCUCUCUCUCUCUCUCUCUCUCUCUCUCUCUCUCAUUACUCUUGUUAAAAUACAAAAAUUGGGUGUUCAAAAUUGUGAUUUUGCUUUGUUGUUUUUAUUGUUAAUUUGUACGAGGAUGAAUUCAAGAAGAUCAAAUGAUCCGUUUUCUUAUUUUUCUAAUAUUUUUCCAUGUAUGAUUUCAAAUUUUAUUUAUUAAUUUCAAAUUCUUGUGGUAAUUAGUUAUGUACUGCAAGGGAGAUAUAGUCCAUUUGGGUUUGAAUGACAUCCCUAUUUCUGAUAUCUCAAAACUUUUAACAAAUAAUUGAGUUCUGAGUACUCUCGAAAAAAAAAAAAAAAAAAAAAAAAAGAAGAAGAAGAAGGAGAGCAUCACUUGGAAUACCUGAUUAAUGAUUCUUUUUCUACAAAUGUAUUAAUUACUCCCCGUUUGUAUUUAAUGUAUAGGCUUACAAACUUGUUCUUUAGUUUUUUUGAUAAUAAGUUAUGGUAUGACCAAUAUUCAGUUGUUAAUUCUACUGUAUCCGACGAACUACACACACCAUUAGAGUGCUGGUGGAUCCCAUUUACAUUGUAUGGUGGCAUGUUGUCUGAGUUGUACUUGAAUGUUGAGUCUCUCCAUUAGAAUAUGUUAUGGUUAUUAUCAAUAACAGUUGUAUGCUUAGCAUGGAAUAUGAGUUUGAGUCCUUCUGUGAUUGUCUUUAUGAGUGUUUCUUUAAGAUUUUUUUCAUUCUCGAAGAUCCUUUUGUUUCUUUUUCUCAAUAACCAGUAGGUAGUGGCGUAGACUGUAACUUGGCAAAUUUCUUUGUGCAGUUGUUGUCCUUUGAAGUAUCUGCAUAUCCAAUUCCAUUCCAUAUGUGCGUCCUCUAACUUGUCAUUGGAGCUCACACCAGUUCAGAAUUUCAGUCCACACCUUCCUUGAAUAUCUCCAAUUAAAAAAUAGGUGUUUAGUAUCUUCACGAAAAUGCAUUCGACUAAAACUUUCACCACCAAUAUUUACAGGUACCAAUACAGGGAGAGCCUGAUUGGACUGCAUAUAGGAGGGUAUCUGUUGAGUGACUCGUACUGGGAACCCUUUGGGUACUUUGUGGUGUUUGUCUGCCUUGUACUCUCUGGGAAACUUCAUACUCCAAGUUACAAAGGACAAUUAGUUUCAAGUAGCUUGCUCCAUCUCAGUAGUUUAUCCUGUGUCAAAAGUGCUUCUUGUACGGCAAGCCAAGUAAUAAACAUAUCUCACCAAAAUCUUUUUUGAGUGUAAUGGUAGAUUACUUUGGUGUUGAAGAGUUAUUCUCUUUCUUAAUUUUAUUGACUAUUUGACACUUAAAUCUUUCUUCACUCAUAACAAGUGAGCAUUGUGCACGUUAGCUAGCUGUCUGUGCUAUGAGCACAAAGUCAGCCACAGAUACAGUAAUGGGUCCUUAUACUUCAUGCUCAUAUAGAUCUCUUUGAAUGUGCAAGGAGAUUGCGGUGUUCUAUAGGAUAGGGACCUUAUAGCAAUUUAAUAUUUAGAUCUAUAAUUUGAAUCCAUGUAGAUGUAAUGUAGCACAUGACUUAGAUUCAUUGCACUUCAACUUUGUUUCUCUUUAUUUGCAUCUUUCUCUAUAAGUAGGACUAUUCAUUAGUCAUUAGAAUGCCUGAACGUGAAUGGCUACUGUAGUUAUAACGUACAGAGGUAAAAUGUAGUAAAACCUACUGUGUUGGACUCAAUGAAGCUGGUAGGUAUUGGGUCACUACUUCACUUGGGUCACAUUAAUAUGCAGAACUUGUUUGUGUGGAAAUGGAUCACUAUCAUCUUUGUGAUCUUCCCUUCUUGUCAUAAAUUUAGGUGUUCCUUUUUCAUUCUCUUGGAAAAAAUGAUCAUGCAUGUUGUUAAUUUUAGGAUUGUUUUCUUUUUUAAUGUUGCAGGAUAGCUAUGAUCAAUGAGGCAUCAAACUAAUUUCUUAGGGACAGUUCAUAUCUCAGGGUAUUUUUUUUCCGGUGAGUUAUACUUCCAGCAAGUCAUCACACACUAUUUUUUCACUUGUGGUAUGCAUCAUAUGACACUAUAUGUUUAGGAAGGACUUAAAAGUGGAGUGAGUAGACAAUUAGGAUACUCUGUGUAAUCUGGCAGCUUCCAUUCACUCUUGUUAUGUAUGUUUUUAUAUUUUCUGAACAACUUGUUUUGUUUAAGAUUGCAUUAUACUUUGUAAUAAUUGUUAUGGUCACAUAAAAAUCUAGCAUAACUGAAUCUGAUCUGAAUUGAAUAAUACUGUUAUUUUCAUAGUAUUUUUGGAAUAUUAAUUCCAAAUAAUUUAUGGCAGAAGUUACAGUAUGAUACAUAUAUGUAAGGACACGAGAACAUAGUAUGUUUUUUUUUUCUUCUUAAUCUAUCCCCUUUUUAACUCCGCCAAAGCAAACUUAUGAAAACCACUGGUCCCAAGACCGGAUAAAAGAAGAGGGAAAAGGGUAAUAUUGUUAAAUUAUUUUAUAGUUGAAUUGUAAUACUGUAGUUUAAUUGUAUCAAUAAUUAACUUGAUUUUGUUUAUUACAGAGACUGCACAGGGUACAAGAUACCAACUGAAGUGUUGAAUUUUCCUGCAAGACCUAACUCUUCUUCGAUUUCUUCGUCCUGGGCGAAACCUACCAAUGAUGGUCAAGUUAAUAAGUUAGUAGUGAAUGAUGAAGAAGAGCUUUAUAAGCCUAAAAAACUGUAAGUCUAUAUAUCUCCAUUUGCCGACGCAUUGAGUUCAAUGAUGUAAACAACAAUCUAAGAAUAUUUCUUCUCCGCACUAGGGCAGGUGGUUUGGGUAUCAAUCUCACUUCAACCGACACCUAUAUAUAUUGUGACAGUGAUUAGGGUAAGCUCUCUCAUGGUCUAAAUCUCUAAACAUCUAUUGCAUCUUCCCCUCAAAACCCUGAAAUGGAUUUGCAUCCCAUGGAUAUUUGCCAAAGGAUAGGCCAAACCCGACCAAUUCGUGUGUAUAGUCAUUAGAGCUUUGUUUACUAUUGUGGAUGUCUUUUGUACUUGUGAAUACUAUUUCUCGUUUAAAUUUUUUUUGUCAUAUGAACUAAUUAACUUUUCUUUAAUUAGUGUCGCAUAUUAGAGAGAGCUUUCAGUAAGUUGAGGCGUGAGCAUGUAGUGAUUGGGAAAGGCCAGUUCCAGUAGGAGAGAACCAAGUCAAAUUCUUUGAAUGUUCUUGAGGUUUGUGUUCUGUUACCAUCUCGCAUCUUGGUUGCUUUGUUAUGUUAUUAAACCCCUGGUUUGGAUAUCAAAGAACCACCCAAUGUUUUGAAUAUCCUUGGGUCUCUAUCAAAAGUAGAGACAUGAGGGUAGUAGCAACAUUGUCGUCACCUUUAUGUUUUUCACUUAUCUUUUUGCAUGUUAGACCACCAAGUUGUUCCAUGUCGUCAUCACCUUUCACUAUGGUACAUAAUCAGAAUUAUGUACCUAGGCAUUGUAGUUUGAUAUUUUUCAUUUUCUUUCAACAGGCUGACAUCUAGAAUGUGAUGGAUGCUAUUGGAUCAACACUUUAUGUUCUGCAAACAAUGGUUUCCUGUCUAUGCUCUGUACUCUCAAAGGUGAACUGGCUAUAGUUGUUAGGAGUUUAAUUUUUUCUAUUCCUCAAGUUGAUUAUAACCAAUUAACCACAAACUUCAAAUAGUAAGUUGUGAUGUUGAUAUUUGUCUUUUUUAUGUAUAUGUUUUUCUUUCCUUGGUUCCUAUUAACAAGAGUUUGUGUUUAAUAAAAAAAAAUGUGUUCAUUAAGUUCGAGAUUGUGAAUGCUUUGGAAAUGUUAAUUGUUUAUUUAAUGUACUAAUUAAUUGCAUUUUCGCUUAGUUAGUUA